CAAUGGGCGAAAGCCUGAUGCAGCAACGCCGCGUGCGGGAAGACGGCCUUCGGGUUGUAAACCGCUUUCAGUAGGGACGAAGCUAACGUGACGGUACCUACAGAAGAAGCACCGGCUAACUACGUGCCAGCAGCCGCGGUGAUACGUAGGGUGCGAGCGUUGUCCGGAAUUAUUGGGCGUAAAGAGCUUGUAGGCGGUUUGUCACGUCGGGAGUGAAAACUCGGGGCUUAACCCCGAGCCUGCUUCCGAUACGGACUGACUUGAGGAAGGUAGGGGAGAAUGGAAUUCCUGGUGAAGCGGUGGAAUGCGUAGAUAUCAGGAGGAACACCAGUGGCGAAGGCGGUUCUCUGGACCUUUCCUGACGCUGAGAAGCGAAAGCGUGGGGAGCAAACAGGCUUAGAUACCCUGGUAGUCCACGCCGUAAACGGUGGGUACUAGGUGUGGGGAACAUUCCACGUUCUCCGUACCGCAGCUAACGCAUUAAGUACCCCGCCUGGGGAGUACGGUCGCAAGGCUAAAACUCAAAGGAAUUGACGGGG
This 539-nucleotide ribosomal RNA is filed under the name Tessaracoccus oleiagri. RNAcentral describes it as "bacterial SSU rRNA". It matches the Rfam family "Bacterial small subunit ribosomal RNA", at positions 369 to 918 of the family's 1533-position model. Lineage: Bacteria; Bacillati; Actinomycetota; Actinomycetes; Propionibacteriales; Propionibacteriaceae. The record is from RNAcentral.